UACGUAGGGGGCAAGCGUUGUCCGGAUUUAUUGGGCGUAAAGGGCGCGUAGGCGGCCUGACAAGUGGAAGGUGAAAUCCCUCGGCUUAACCGAGGAACUGCCCUCCAAACUGUUUGGCUUGAGACCGGGAGAGGUGAGUGGAAUUCCCAGUGUAGCGGUGAAAUGCGUAGAUAUUGGGAGGAACACCAGUGGCGAAGGCGGCUCACUGGACCGGUACUGACGCUGAGGCGCGAAAGCGUGGGGAGCAAACGGG
This 253-nucleotide ribosomal RNA is filed under the name uncultured bacterium. RNAcentral's name for it is "partial 16S ribosomal RNA". It matches the Rfam family "Bacterial small subunit ribosomal RNA", at positions 524 to 776 of the family's 1533-position model. The record is from RNAcentral.